Molecule: non-coding RNA, 45 nt
Organism: Schistosoma rodhaini
Lineage: Eukaryota; Metazoa; Platyhelminthes; Trematoda; Strigeidida; Schistosomatidae
Source: Rfam
ACUUAGCUGACGAGUCCAAAUUAGGACAAAACGCGUGUUCUGGAU